GAUGAACGCUGGCGGCGUGCCUAAUACAUGCAAGUCGAGCGAACAGACGAGGAGCUUGCCCCUCUGACGUUAGCGGCGGACGGGUGAGUAACACGUGGAUAACCUACCUAUAAGACUGGGAUAACUUCGGGAAACCGGAGCUAAUACCGGAUAAUAUAUUGAACCGCAUGGUUCAAUAGUGAAAGACGGUUUUGCUGUCACUUAUAGAUGGAUCCGCGCCGCAUUAGCUAGUUGGUAAGGUAACGGCUUACCAAGGCAACGAUGCGUAGCCGACCUGAGAGGGUGAUCGGCCACACUGGAACUGAGACACGGUCCAGACUCCUACGGGAGGCAGCAGUAGGGAAUCUUCCGCAAUGGGCGAAAGCUUGACGGAGCAACGCCGCGUGAGUGAUGAAGGUCUUCGGAUCGUAAAACUCUGUUAUUAGGGAAGAACAAAUGUGUAAGUAACUAUGCACGUCUUGACGGUACCUAAUCAGAAAACCACGGCUAACUACGU
RNAcentral lists this ribosomal RNA (496 nucleotides) under uncultured bacterium. RNAcentral describes it as "partial 16S ribosomal RNA". It matches the Rfam family "Bacterial small subunit ribosomal RNA", at positions 28 to 506 of the family's 1533-position model. The record is from RNAcentral.